UCCACUGUAGGGUUCUCUAUGUAUUUAGUCCGUUCACCAUUUCCCAGGAUGCUUAGUAAACUUUCAUUUAUUUAGAUUCUCACCAUGUAAACAACCAUUAAAGCAUACCAAUAUCUCAUUUUGUAUUAACAUAUUAAUUCAAAUGGUACUUAACAAGCGUUAUAGUUUGGCAUAGCUAAAUAACCAAUAACCAGAAUACUGGAUAAACAUUGCAGGAAAAACCAAAUAACCAAAUAACCGAGAAUGCCAUUAAAACUAUCAAUUUAAUUACGCACAGUAUAAUAGUAAGCAAAUAUGGCCAGUGCAGGAAAAUAAACAGGGAAUCAGGACAAAUGUGAACUAAGCGGUUCCAACUCCACUAGUGACCCUAUAAUAUUUUUAGGAUUUUUCUAAUUUUUCACAAAAUACACAAUUAUCGAUUAUUAAUCUUUAAUUUAUCGUAAUCAAGAAUAAAGUGAGGGAUCCUUACCCGAAUCGAUGUUUCAAGACGCUGCACUGUCUCCUAACGGGUCUCGGGUUUCCUGAAAUUUUUUGUGAGAAUCCAAAAUACUUGUCACGUACCUAAAAAUACCCCAAAAAAUUCAAAAUCGGUGUUGAAAACAUUUUUCGGUCAAUUUUAGGGUUCUGACACGGCGGCGGCACCGUGCUCCGGCCUUGGCUCUGCUGUCGGUGGCAGCGAUUCGACUUAGCUUGGCCAGUUUUGGCUAGUUUUACACGUAUCUCUGUGGAAAAAUACGUUAGGAGGUCUCAGAUGGGUAGAAAAAUCACAAAA
Molecule: long non-coding RNA, 772 nt
Filed under: Carica papaya (papaya)
Lineage: Eukaryota; Viridiplantae; Streptophyta; Magnoliopsida; Brassicales; Caricaceae
Description: long non-coding RNA (CPAP_LNC013790)
Source: RNAcentral